Ctenopharyngodon idella (grass carp) is the source of this 4356-nucleotide long non-coding RNA. RefSeq lists it as uncharacterized. Lineage: Eukaryota; Metazoa; Chordata; Actinopteri; Cypriniformes; Xenocyprididae. The transcript has 5 exons. The record is from RefSeq and is a predicted model, not a curated record.
AACUCGAUAUAAAGACAUAAAGCUGUUAAAGGCAAGUUCUAAAGUUUGAAUUGCAAGAUUUAAACUUGCAAUUCUGAGAAAAAAAGUCAGAAUUGUGAGAUAAAAAGUUGCAAUGACCUUUUUUAUUCUUUUAUCCCAUGGCAGAAACAAGCUUCCAUACUUACAAAUGCACGAUGAGACAAGAAAAGACUAUUAAGCGCUCUGUGAAAGGUAAACACACUCGGCACCUGCCGAUGGAUACCAUCUCGGUCCGUCUUACUCUCAUGCAGAUCUCACUGUUGACAUACACACACAAACACAUUUGCAUUUGUCCAACGUAACUGCAUUUGACAACACGCAGGGUCAGGAGUGGGCUAAGCAGCAAUUAGGUUUGUUUUCAUCUCUAGUAAAUGUGUGUGUGUUUGUGUGUGUGUAUGUGUGUGUGUGUAGGUAUGUGUGUGUGUGUGUCAACAGCGAGACAGAUCACCUGAGCCUUGCACUACACUUAGCACAAUGCUGAGAGAAAUUACAUUUGGUAAACAAACAUUCUGCCAUCUGCCUUGGCUGGUGUUGUGAAUAAACACGUAGACUGUUACCAGGUCACUCUCAACAUCCCAGAGAGGCACACAAGGCCUGUCUCAGAGAACUGUCUGGCUACAGAGUAACUCAGCUCCCGCUCUGAUACCGGAGCCCAUCUGUUCACCAUAAGAUUUGGAUUCGCUCUCUGAAAUAACUUGUGACAGGAGACAAUAGUGAAUUUUUUGGCUGAACAUUUGUUACUUCUUCAUUUUUUAUUUCGAGCAGGGCACAACAAACUUCAAAGCUUUUAAAGGGAUAGUUCUGAUGAAAAUGAACAUUCUGUCAUCAUUUACUCGCCCUCAAGUGGUUCCAAACUUGUAUGACUUUCUUUCUUCUGUGGAACACGAAAGAAGAUAUUUUGAAGAAUGUUGAUAAACAAACAGUUUUGGUGACCACUGAAUUCCAUUGUAUGGACUAAAAAGACUGAAGGUGAUGAUACACGGGGCAACUUUUUGAGCAAUGUCGCCGAGCGAUGAUGCUUGGGCACUUUCUCAUUGAUAUUGGGCAACAAAUUUCGAUCUAAAGUAUCGAAAAGUAGAAAUUUGUUGCCCAUUCUCAAUGGGAAACUCAAUUGCUCAAAAAGUUGCCCCGUGUAUCAUCACCUUGAGACCUUUCUCAAAAUAUCCUCUUUUAUGUUCUUCCAAAAGUAAGUCAUACAGGUUUGGAGUAAAUUAUGGCAGAAUUUUCAUUUUAAUUUAAUUAAAUGAUUACAGAAUUUCCCUUUAUUUAAAGACUUGGCUUAACUCAUGAAUAUUCAUGAAAUUGUGCUUAUGACCUUUUACUGUUGAUUAUGCGAUGUAUUGUUCAAGUUUGUAGUAUUUGCUCAUUUCCAAGUCAAAACUGGAAUGUAUAAAAAUUAUUUAAAGCUUUCAAUAGCAAAAUGAGUUGCUAUUUUUUCCAACAAAACCUAUUUGUGUAAGAUGUACACAUUUAUAUGCUUUUGUUUGCAUUUGGUUUUGUAAUGUAACUUUAAAGGAAUAGAAUCAGAGCACGUCUAAGAAAUUUUUUACAUUAAAUAUUUGAUUAAAAAAAGCAUUCAUUCACAUAUAUACAUACAUAUAUUUUAAACACACAUUAUAUAUAUAUAUAUAUAUAUGUGUGUGUGUGUGUGUGUGUGUUUGUGUGUUUAAAAUAUAUUAAAAUAAAAACAGAUAUUUUAAAUUGUAAUAAAAUUUCACAAUGUUACUGUUUUCACUGUACUUUCAAUCAAUUAAAUGCACCCUUGGUGAACAGAGAAACUUCUUUAAAAAAAACAUAAAAUGAAUGGUAUUGUACAUAUAUAAUCAUUUCAUUUUAAUUGUCUUAAUAACCACUCUGAAAAAAGGCUGUUUAAUGAAGAGGCGAGGAUGAAUGCAUUAUAAUGUUUGAAACUUUAAUUAACCUUCUUGAAUCUAAUUGCUUGCGUCUUUUAACAAACAACCCCCUAAACAGCUGGCAGACUCCACCAGUGUCCAUACCCCCUCUGUUCCACAUCAUGUACUCCAGUCAUUCACAGACACCUUUUGCUGUGCAACCACAGCAGGUGUGAGAAAUGAAUCCCCAGGAGCUUCAGGUUCAAUCAAACCAGAGACCAGACCUGAUCUGAAUGGAUAAUUAGGCUACAUCUCCGACCAGAGAGGCACAAUGCUUGUAUUGUACCACUGAGGACACAGAUGUAGCACUGACAGUUUCAGCUGUUAAAGGGCACAAGCUUUAAAAUAUAAAGCCUUUGUUAUGAAUAAAUAUUCUCAGUGUUGUUUGCAUAAACAGUAUGUUCAACGUUGCAGGGAACAGCACAUCAGUGUGGGACUAUGCAAGCCUAUGUGACGUUACCAUAAACAACAGCCUCAAAGUAUAGAAAUAACGUUCAAAUGGAAACACUGGCUUGGAAACUUACUCUUGCCUAAAUGGAAACUUUUUUUUUUACAACGUAGCCUGAAUAAUUUAAACAACCAUUUCACUGGGCUGUAACUGGGGGCUACAUACUACUCAAAAACUGCCUCCAGCGAAGUGUUUUUACAGGAUUAGUUCACUUCAUAAUUAAAAUUUCCUAAUAAUUUAUCCACCCCCAUGUUAUUCAAGAUGUUUAUGUCUUUCUUUCUUCAGUCAAAAAGAAAUUAAGGUUUUUGAGGAAGUUUUUUUCUCCAUAUAGUGGACUUCACUGUGGUACAACAGGUUGAAUUGCACUGUCAAUGCAGCUUCAAAGGGCUCUACAUGAUCCCAGACAAAGAAUAAGGGUCUUAAUCUAGCAAAACGAUCAGUCAUUUUCUAAAAAAAAAAAAAAAAAAAAAUAUGUAUAUACUUCUUAACCACAAAUGCUCAUCUUGCACUGCUCUGCGAUCACGUUGGAAAGGUCACGCAUGACGUAGGGGGAAGUACCGAUCCAGCGUCUACAAAGCAAACAUGCAAAGAAUAAUUCAAACGCCCUUUACAAAAAAAGGCAAAACAACGUCAGACGAUUUUGAAGUUGGAGGAGAAAAUGGGAUGGAGUUUUUCGCUCUAACGCGGUACUUCCGCCACACGUGACCUUUCCAGCGUGAUUACAUAAUGCGUGGCGCAUCACAGAGCAGUGCAAGAUGAGCAUUUGUGGUUAAAAAGUAUAUACAUUUUUAUUUUUUUUAGAAAAUUACCUAUCGUUUCACUAGACAAGACCUUUACUCCUCGUCUGGGAUUACACUAUAGGGAGAAAAAUCCUGGAAUGUUUUCCUCAAAAACCUUAAUUUCUUUUCGACUGAAGAAAGAAACACAUAAACAUCUUGGAUGACUUGGUGAGUAAAUUAUCAGGAAAUUUACAUUCUGAAGUGAACUAAUCCUUUAACUAACAAAAAAACUUACAUUAUGAAACAAUUCAAUGUGAGAACAUGCCAGUUAGUUUCAGUUUUGCUUUGUUAGUUGUUGUUAUUUUUAGUAACGUUAACUCACUUGUUUUAUAGGCCAUAAUUAGAGGUUCCAUUUUCAACUAUGAAAACAUGCCCUUUCUUGCAUAGAUAAUGGAAGAAAAAGUCUCUGGAACGGGACACGUUUAGUCCAUGUUGUAUUGGGAACUUCUCCCAGACCAUCACUACAGGAGUAAUGGAAAAAAUAAACCAAACAUUCUCUCUCUCUCUGGCAUAGUAAAUGAGAAGUCACUGAUGCUGCUCUAAGUUGCCCUCCUCUGUUUUACUCACUCCUCUACUCACAGAGGCUUAUGUAACCACUUCUGUCGCUUCAAACUCAAGGCUCUACAGGAGAGGAAGGGGAUCUUGAACUCCCUUUAGAAGCAGGACGCCUGCAAGCAUUCCACAGGAAGGAAGUAGAGACAAGCAAUGAGACGCCAGCACAACGCUGCACCUUCAAGCAAAUAAAACUCUACAAAAGAAACUACAGAACAUUUCAAUGCCUGCAAAUACUGCUCAAUGCCUAACUGUAUCUUUCUGGAUCUUGAGAGUGCAGUGACAUUGCUGGCAAUAGAGGCCAAACUGAGCCAUCGGAUUUCAUCAAAAAUAUCUUAAUUUGUGUUCUGAAGAUGAACGAAGGUCUUACGGGUGUGGAACGACAUGAGGUACAUUAAUGGAUCUUGAGAGAGGAAAUGUCAUUGCUGGCUAUGGAGGCCUCACUGAGCCAUCAGAUUUCAACAAAAAUAUCUUAAUUUGUGUUCCGAAGAUGAACGAAGGUCCUACAGGUGUGGAACGGCAUGAGGGUGCAGGUUUGGGUGGGCUGUUGAAGGAUCUAUUGAGAGCUGACAGAAAUCUAGAUCGAGAAGGGGUGUUGUUAAAUUAAUCAGCAUAAACAAAUGUGUUUAUAUGUAAAACCGCUGUCUCACUGUUGAUUAUAUUGAUU